This 438-nucleotide ribosomal RNA is filed under the name Amphistegina lobifera. RNAcentral describes it as "SSU rRNA". It matches the Rfam family "Eukaryotic small subunit ribosomal RNA", at positions 1176 to 1607 of the family's 1831-position model. The record is from RNAcentral. Lineage: Eukaryota; Foraminifera; Rotaliida; Amphisteginidae.
GUGGAGCAUGUGGCUUAAUUUGACUCANCGCGGGGAAUCUUACUAGGUCCGGACCGAUUCUAUGAUCGUCGUACUGUGGGGUGCUACGUGAUUACUGGAUGAGUGGUGCAUGGCCGUUCUUAGUUCGUGGUGUUAAUUGUCUACUUAAUUGUUUCGAUUUACGUCUCGCGACUAAGUCUACGAACGAACGAGAUCGAGACCCGUGGUUGCGUAUGUUUGAAUUCGGUAUUACUACGGGGAUCGCGUAUUACUCCACGGUACGAUCGAAAGACUCGGCAAUAACAGGUCUGUGAUGCCCUCAGAUGUUCUAGGCUGCACACGUGCUACAGUGUGGCGCUGUAUCGUGUGUGUAUGCAGAGAACUGAUAAGAUCCCCCGCACCGAGUCAUAACUGGUCACACGGUUGGACUCACCGAUUGUCAAUUAUUCNGUAUACUAA